This 447-nucleotide ribosomal RNA is filed under the name uncultured bacterium. Its description in RNAcentral is "bacterial SSU rRNA". It matches the Rfam family "Bacterial small subunit ribosomal RNA", at positions 55 to 527 of the family's 1533-position model. The record is from RNAcentral.
AUGCAGUCGUACGAGAGUUUUUAACUCUAGUGGCGGACGGGUGAGUAACACGUGAGAAUUUACCUUUAGGAGGGGGAUAACAGCGUAUCAAUAGAUAUUACGGAAACGGCUGCUAAUACCCCAUAUGCUUUUGAGUGAAAUAGAUUUAUCUGCCUAAAGAGAAGCUCGCGGCUGAUUAGCUUGUUGGUAAGGUAAUGGCUUACCAAGGCGACGAUCAGUAUCUGGUUUGAGAGGACGAUCAGACACACUGGAACUGAGACACGGUCCAGACUCCUACGGGAGGCAGCAGUGGGGAAUUUUCCGCAAUGGGCGAAAGCCUGACGGAGCAAUACCGCGUGAGGGAUACGGCCUAUGGGUUGUAAACCUCUUUUUUCAGGGAGGAAUUCAAUGACGUGUACCUGAGGAAUAAGCAUCGGCUAACUCCGUGCCAGCAGCCGCGGUAAUACG